CCAGGUUCUGUGAGGACGAUGUCAGAAGCACUUCUGGCAGCAUCUGUAGCAUCAGCAACAGCUAUUCCAAUAUCUGCCUUCUUCAAAGCUGGGGCAUCAUUAACACCAUCUCCUGUCAUUCCACAGAUGUGCUUCCUCUCCUGCAGCCUCUUAACAAUUUCGUAUUUAUGUUCUGGAAAAACUCCAGCAAACCCAUCAGCCUUUUCAAUCAACUCAUCUACAGGGAGAGCCGCAAUAGAAGCAUCUUUGUCUUGGCCAAGCAAUGAAGAAGAUGGAUACAUGUUUGUUCCCAUUCCAAGCCUCCGACCAGUUUCCUUACCAAUGGCAAGUUGAUCCCCGGUAAUCAUUUUAACAUUCACACCAAGGUUGAGAGCUCUUCUGAUGGUUUCAGCACUGUCGUGCCUGGGAGGAUCAAACAAAGGCAACAAUCCAAC
Molecule: unclassified non-coding RNA, 434 nt
Filed under: Hevea brasiliensis (rubber tree)
Lineage: Eukaryota; Viridiplantae; Streptophyta; Magnoliopsida; Malpighiales; Euphorbiaceae
Source: RNAcentral